AGCCUGAUGCAGCCAUGCCGCGUGUGUGAAGAAGGCCUUCGGGUUGUAAAGCACUUUCAGUAGGGAGGAAGGUUCAUGCGUUAAUAGCGUAUGGAUUUGACGUUACCUACAGAAGAAGCACCGGCUAACUCCGUGCCAGCAGCCGCGGUAAUACGGAGGGUGCGAGCGUUAAUCGGAAUUACUGGGCGUAAAGCGCAUGCAGGUGGUUUGUUAAGUCAGAUGUGAAAGCCCGGGGCUCAACCUCGGAAUUGCAUUUGAAACUGGCAGACUAGAGUACUGUAGAGGGGGGUAGAAUUUCAGGUGUAGCGGUGAAAUGCGUAGAGAUCUGAAGGAAUACCGGUGGCGAAGGCGGCCCCCUGGACAGAUACUGACACUCAGAUGCGAAAGCGUGGGGAGCAAACAGGAUUAGAUACCCUGGUAGUCCACGCCGUAAACGAUGUCUACUUGGAGGUUGUGGCCUUGAGCCGUGGCUUUCGGAGCUAACGCGUUAAGUAGACCGCCUGGG
RNAcentral lists this ribosomal RNA (505 nucleotides) under Vibrio sp. 1B1f2S35. RNAcentral describes it as "bacterial SSU rRNA". It matches the Rfam family "Bacterial small subunit ribosomal RNA", at positions 380 to 877 of the family's 1533-position model. The record is from RNAcentral. RNAcentral also lists the same sequence under 3 other names. Lineage: Bacteria; Pseudomonadati; Pseudomonadota; Gammaproteobacteria; Vibrionales; Vibrionaceae.